Molecule: ribosomal RNA, 465 nt
Filed under: Vreelandella stevensii
Lineage: Bacteria; Pseudomonadati; Pseudomonadota; Gammaproteobacteria; Oceanospirillales; Halomonadaceae
Description: partial 16S ribosomal RNA
Rfam family: Bacterial small subunit ribosomal RNA
Source: RNAcentral
CCUACGGGGGGCAGCAGUGGGGAAUAUUGGACAAUGGGGGGAACCCUGAUCCAGCCAUGCCGCGUGUGUGAAGAAGGUCCUCGGGUUGUAAAGCACUUUCAGUGAGGAAGAACGCCUGGUGGUUAAUACCCAUCAGGAAAGACAUCACUCACAGAAGAAGCACCGGCUAACUCCGUGCCAGCAGCCGCGGUAAUACGGAGGGGGCGAGCGUUAAUCGGAAUUACUGGGCGUAAAGCGCGCGUAGGUGGCUUGAUCAGCCGGUUGUGAAAGCCCCGGGCUCAACCUGGGAACGGCAUCCGGAACUGUCAAGCUAGAGUGCAGGAGAGGAAGGUAGAAUUCCCGGUGUAGCGGUGAAAUGCGUAGAGAUCGGGAGGAAUACCAGUGGCGAAGGCGGCCUUCUGGCCUGACACUGACACUGAGGUGCGAAAGCGUGGGUAGCAAACAGGAUUAGAUACCCGUGUAGUC